RNAcentral lists this ribosomal RNA (228 nucleotides) under uncultured bacterium. Its description in RNAcentral is "partial 16S ribosomal RNA". It matches the Rfam family "Bacterial small subunit ribosomal RNA", at positions 107 to 334 of the family's 1533-position model. The record is from RNAcentral.
UGAGUAACACGUAUCCAACCUGCCGUCUACUCUUGGCCAGCCUUCUGAAAGGAAGAUUAAUCCAGGAUGGCAUCAUGAGUUCACAUGUCCGCAUGAUUAAAGGUAUUUCCGGUAGACGAUGGGGAUGCGUUCCAUUAGAUAGUAGGCGGGGUAACGGCCCACCUAGUCAACGAUGGAUAGGGGCUCUGAGAGGAAGGUCCCCCACAUUGGAACUGAGACACGGUCCAA